This 763-nucleotide ribosomal RNA is filed under the name uncultured Streptococcus sp. Its description in RNAcentral is "bacterial SSU rRNA". It matches the Rfam family "Bacterial small subunit ribosomal RNA", at positions 28 to 776 of the family's 1533-position model. The record is from RNAcentral. Lineage: Bacteria; Bacillati; Bacillota; Bacilli; Lactobacillales; Streptococcaceae.
GACGAACGCUGGCGGCGUGCCUAAUACAUGCAAGUAGAACGCUGAAGGAGGAGCUUGCUUCUCUGGAUGAGUUGCGAACGGGUGAGUAACGCGUAGGUAACCUGCCUGGUAGCGGGGGAUAACUAUUGGAAACGAUAGCUAAUACCGCAUAACAGUAGAUAUUGCAUGAUAUCUGCUUGAAAGGUGCAAUUGCAUCACUACCAGAUGGACCUGCGUUGUAUUAGCUAGUUGGUGAGGUAACGGCUCACCAAGGCGACGAUACAUAGCCGACCUGAGAGGGUGAUCGGCCACACUGGGACUGAGACACGGCCCAGACUCCUACGGGAGGCAGCAGUAGGGAAUCUUCGGCAAUGGACGGAAGUCUGACCGAGCAACGCCGCGUGAGUGAAGAAGGUUUUCGGAUCGUAAAGCUCUGUUGUAAGAGAAGAACGAGUGUGAGAGUGGAAAGUUCACACUGUGACGGUAUCUUACCAGAAAGGGACGGCUAACUACGUGCCAGCAGCCGCGGUAAUACGUAGGUCCCGAGCGUUGUCCGGAUUUAUUGGGCGUAAAGCGAGCGCAGGCGGUUAGAUAAGUCUGAAGUUAAAGGCUGUGGCUUAACCAUAGUACGCUUUGGAAACUGUUUAACUUGAGUGCAAGAGGGGAGAGUGGAAUUCCAUGUGUAGCGGUGAAAUGCGUAGAUAUAUGGAGGAACACCGGUGGCGAAAGCGGCUCUCUGGCUUGUAACUGACGCUGAGGCUCGAAAGCGUGGGGAGCAAACAGG